This 74-nucleotide non-coding RNA is filed under the name uncultured Prevotella sp. RNAcentral describes it as "L13-Bacteroidia ribosomal protein leader". It matches the Rfam family "L13-Bacteroidia ribosomal protein leader". The record is from RNAcentral. Lineage: Bacteria; Pseudomonadati; Bacteroidota; Bacteroidia; Bacteroidales; Prevotellaceae.
GGAGAGACUUAGAAUCCCCGUGGACAGACGUGUGAAUAGUAGUGUCUUUGGCCGGGCGCCGCGGUUCGUGAAUC